This 826-nucleotide ribosomal RNA is filed under the name uncultured archaeon. Its description in RNAcentral is "bacterial SSU rRNA". It matches the Rfam family "Archaeal small subunit ribosomal RNA", at positions 21 to 856 of the family's 1478-position model. The record is from RNAcentral.
GGUCACUGCUAUCGGGGUUCGAUUAAGCCAUGCGAGUCGAGAGGGUUCGGCCCUCGGCGUACUGCUCAGUAACACGUGGAUAACCUGCCCUAAGGAAGGGGAUACCCCCGGGAAACUGGGGAUAAUACCCUAUAGGUUACCAAUGCUGGAAUGCUUGGUAACCGAAAGUUCCGGCGCCUUAGGAUGGAUCUGCGGCCGAUUAGGUUGUUGUCGGGGUAACGGCCCAACAAGCCAGUAAUCGGUACGGGUUGUGGGAGCAAGAGCCCGGAGUUGGAUUCUGAGACACGAAUCCAGGCCCUACGGGGCGCAGCAGGCGCGAAAACUUUACAAUGCGGGCAACCGUGAUAAGGGAACCUCGAGUGCCUGUAUAUGCAGGCUGUCUGAGUGUCUAAAUCACACUCAAAGAAAGGGCCGGGCAAGACCGGUGCCAGCCGCCGCGGUAAUACCGGCGGCUCGAGUGGUGGCCACUUUUAUUGGGCUUAAAGCGUUCGUAGCUGGGUUAUUAAGUCCCUUGGGAAAUCCGGCGGCUUAACCGUCGGGCGUCUAAGAGAUACUGGUAAUCUUGGAACCGGGAGAGGUGAGGGGUACUUCGGGGGUAGGAGUGAAAUCCUGUAAUCCUCGAGGGACCACCUGUGGCGAAGGCGCCUCACCAGAACGGCUUCGACAGUGAGGGACGAAAGCUGGGGGAGCAAACCGGAUUAGAUACCCGGGUAGUCCCAGCCGUAAACGAUGUGCGUUAGGUGUGUCGGUGACCACGAGUCACCGAGGUGCCGAAGGGAAACCGUGAAACGUACCGCCUGGGAAGUACGGUCGCAAGGCUGAAACU